This 216-nucleotide ribosomal RNA is filed under the name uncultured bacterium. RNAcentral describes it as "partial 16S ribosomal RNA". It matches the Rfam family "Bacterial small subunit ribosomal RNA", at positions 524 to 736 of the family's 1533-position model. The record is from RNAcentral.
UACGUAGGGUGCGAGCGUUUAAUCGGAAUUACUGGGCGUAAAGCGUGCGCAGGCGGUUCGUUAAGUCAGAUGUGAAAGCCCCGAGCUCAACUUGGGAAUGGCAUUUGAAACUGGCGGGCUGGAGUGUGGCAGAGGGGGGGUGGAAUUCCACGGUGUAGCAGUGAAAUGCGUAGAUAAUCGGGAGGAACACCAGUGGCGAAGGCGACUACCUGGCCG